GUUUGCACUCAUCGGGGAAGGGUGAGAACCUUCGACUAAGGUUCGAUUCGAACGAAAGCGAGAGAACGUUGCCACAGGCAACGGCCCGAAGGGUGAGGAGCGAAGCGACGAAUAAUCCUUCCCCCACCACCA
This 132-nucleotide small RNA is filed under the name Escherichia coli. RNAcentral describes it as "RtT sRNA". It matches the Rfam family "RtT RNA". From Rfam's summary of the family: This family represents a bacterial cis-regulatory element known as RtT RNA. The exact function of RtT is unknown although it is thought that it may be involved in changing the cellular response in relation to amino acid starvation. Lineage: Bacteria; Pseudomonadati; Pseudomonadota; Gammaproteobacteria; Enterobacterales; Enterobacteriaceae. The record is from RNAcentral.